GAUGAACGCUGGCGGCGUGCCUAAUACAUGCAAGUCGAGCGAACAGACGAGGAGCUUGCUCCUCUGACGUUAGCGGCGGACGGGUGAGUAACACGUGGAUAACCUACCUAUAAGACUGGGAUAACUUCGGGAAACCGGAGCUAAUACCGGAUAAUAUAUUGAACCGCAUGGUUCAAUAGUGAAAGACGGUUUUGCUGUCACUUAUAGAUGGAUCCGCGCCGCAUUAGCUAGUUGGUAAGGUAACGGCUUACCAAGGCAACGAUGCGUAGCCGACCUGAGAGGGUGAUCGGCCACACUGGAACUGAGACACGGUCCAGACUCCUACGGGAGGGAGCAGUAGGGAAUCUUCCGCAAUGGGCGAAAGCUUGACGGAGCAACGCCGAGUGAGUGAUGAAGGUCUUCGGAUCGGAAAACCCUGUUAUUAGGGAAGAACAAAUGUGUAAGUAAAUAUUCACGUCUUGACGGUAACUAAUCAGAAAGCCACGGCUAACUACGUG
This 497-nucleotide ribosomal RNA is filed under the name uncultured bacterium. RNAcentral describes it as "partial 16S ribosomal RNA". It matches the Rfam family "Bacterial small subunit ribosomal RNA", at positions 28 to 507 of the family's 1533-position model. The record is from RNAcentral.